GCUUCGUUGGUGUAACAGCAGCACCUCUGCCCACCAAGCAGAUGAUGAGGGUGCAAUUCCCUUACGGAGCUCCA
Molecule: transfer RNA, 74 nt
Filed under: Clostridia bacterium
Lineage: Bacteria; Bacillati; Bacillota; Clostridia
Description: tRNA-Gly
Rfam family: tRNA
About the family: Transfer RNA (tRNA) molecules are approximately 80 nucleotides in length. Their secondary structure includes four short double-helical elements and three loops (D, anti-codon, and T loops). Further hydrogen bonds mediate the characteristic L-shaped molecular structure. tRNAs have two regions of fundamental functional importance: the anti-codon, which is responsible for specific mRNA codon recognition, and the 3' end, to which the tRNAs corresponding amino acid is attached (by aminoacyl-tRNA synthetases). tRNAs cope with the degeneracy of the genetic code in two manners: having more than one tRNA (with a specific anti-codon) for a particular amino acid; and 'wobble' base-pairing, i.e. permitting non-standard base-pairing at the 3rd anti-codon position.
Source: RNAcentral